This is a small nucleolar RNA of Erpetoichthys calabaricus (reedfish), 138 nucleotides long. The record is from Ensembl. NCBI's taxonomy places the organism in Eukaryota, Metazoa, Chordata, Cladistia, Polypteriformes, Polypteridae.
CUUGGCCCUUAUCGAAGCCACCAUGGUCUCAUUUGGUUGCAUGUGUGGUCAAAAAGGAGCCAAUAUUGACACUUCACCUGACGGUCGCUGAUCCGUUUAGCACGUAGCGGAGAAGCAACAUUACAGGGAAGGACAGUC